GAUGAACGCUGGCGGCGUGCUUAACACAUGCAAGUCGAACGAUGAAGCCCAGCUUGCUGGGUGGAUUAGUGGCGAACGGGUGAGUAACACGUGAGUAACCUGCCCUUGACUCUGGGAUAAGCCUGGGAAACUGGGUCUAAUACUGGAUAUGACUUCUCAUCGCAUGGUGGGGGGUGGAAAGAUUUAUUGGUCUUGGAUGGACUCGCGGCCUAUCAGCUUGUUGGUGAGGUAAUGGCUCACCAAGGCGACGACGGGUAGCCGGCCUGAGAGGGUGACCGGCCACACUGGGACUGAGACACGGCCCAGACUCCUACGGGAGGCAGCAGUGGGGAAUAUUGCACAAUGGGCGCAAGCCUGAUGCAGCGACGCCGCGUGAGGGAUGACGGCCUUCGGGUUGUAAACCUAUUUCAGUAGGGAAGAAGCGAGAGUGACGGUACCUGCAGAAGAAGCGCCGGCUAACUACGUG
Molecule: ribosomal RNA, 466 nt
Filed under: uncultured bacterium
Lineage: Bacteria
Description: partial 16S ribosomal RNA
Rfam family: Bacterial small subunit ribosomal RNA
Source: RNAcentral